UUAAGUUCAGCGGGUAGUCCUACCUGAUUCGAGGCCAAAAUGAGAUGAAAACGAUUGUCCUCACGGACGGUUAGAGGCCGUUUGACCUCCCGGUCCAGCGCCUCGCGGCAUCGACGUAGAUGUGAUUAUCACGCCGAAAACUGAAGUCGGGAGAGUCAGCUAAUGCAUUUGAGACGAGCCGAACCCGUGGGGGGCCCAGC
This 200-nucleotide unclassified non-coding RNA is filed under the name Tremellodendropsidales sp. Its description in RNAcentral is "partial internal transcribed spacer 2". The record is from RNAcentral. Lineage: Eukaryota; Fungi; Basidiomycota; Agaricomycetes; Tremellodendropsidales.